UACGUAGGGACCGAGCGUUGUCCGGAUUCAUUGGGCGUAAAGAGCUCGUAGGCGGCUGUUCAAGUCGAACGUGAAAACUCGGAGCUCAACUCCGAGCCUGCGUUCGAGACUGGAUGGCUAGAGUCUGGUAGGGGGAUCUGGAAUUCCUGGUGUAGCGGUGGAAUGCGCAGAUAUCAGGAGGAACACCGAUGGCGAAGGCAGGUCUCUGGGCCAUAACUGACGCUGAGAAGCGAAAGCAUGGGGAGCAAACAGG
RNAcentral lists this ribosomal RNA (253 nucleotides) under uncultured bacterium. RNAcentral's name for it is "partial 16S ribosomal RNA". It matches the Rfam family "Bacterial small subunit ribosomal RNA", at positions 524 to 776 of the family's 1533-position model. The record is from RNAcentral.